ACUCCUACGGGAGGCAGCAGUGGGGAAUAUUGCACAAUGGGCGCAAGCCUGAUGCAGCAACGCCGCGUGAGCGAUGAAGGCCUUCGGGUCGUAAAGCUCUGUCCUCAAGGAAGAAUUUUGACGGUACUUGAGGAGGAAGCCCCGGCUAACUACGUGCCAGCAGCCGCGGUAAU
Molecule: ribosomal RNA, 173 nt
Filed under: uncultured bacterium
Lineage: Bacteria
Description: partial 16S ribosomal RNA
Rfam family: Bacterial small subunit ribosomal RNA
Source: RNAcentral